Molecule: ribosomal RNA, 531 nt
Filed under: Cyclotus taivanus adamsi
Lineage: Eukaryota; Metazoa; Mollusca; Gastropoda; Architaenioglossa; Cyclophoridae
Description: partial 16S ribosomal RNA
Source: RNAcentral
UAGCAAGAUUAACUUUUUUAUUAAUUUUCUCGAAGCCUGGGGAGUUACUUUGUUAUUGUUUUUAGGCAGAAAAAUGUAAAUGUAGCAAAAUUUUAUUCAUAUCAUAAAGUAGAAAUGAGAUUUUUUUCGUACUAGGAGAUAGCUAGUUUCAACAGAAAUAUAUCUACGUAUAGGCAAUCAGGUAGAAUUAACUAUGAAUAGUUAGGUAAUCCACUGGUUUUCUAGCCUUUAGAAGGGUGAGCUUAUGAAGGAAAAGUUGUAAUACAAGGUGGAAACUUGCUGGCAUCUGAGCUUGAAAUUAGCUAAGAUUGAAAGCUUGUUUUAAAGUAUUAAUAUACCGGUUGUGUAUCGCUUAAGUUAGGUUGAUAGGCGCUUGAAUUAGAAGGUGUUGUAUUUAUGCUAAAAUGAGUAUUUUACGAGUAAUUAGAAACUAAAGUUGAUUGUUUAAUCAGAAAUAAACGUGUUAUUUAAAAUGUGAAAAAGGAACUCGGCAUCUAUGUUUCGCCUGUUUAGCAAAAACAUGGCUCUUUG